AAUGAAGUGCCUGAGUUAAAAGGGUUAUCUUGAUAGGAUAAAAUAUGCAGAAAUUCUGCCUUCAUUA
RNAcentral lists this transfer RNA (67 nucleotides) under Tachinus subterraneus. RNAcentral's name for it is "tRNA-Ile". Lineage: Eukaryota; Metazoa; Arthropoda; Insecta; Coleoptera; Staphylinidae. The record is from RNAcentral.